Gasterosteus aculeatus aculeatus (three-spined stickleback) is the source of this 1406-nucleotide long non-coding RNA. NCBI's taxonomy places the organism in Eukaryota, Metazoa, Chordata, Actinopteri, Perciformes, Gasterosteidae. The record is from Ensembl.
GUUAGUAUAAAACAAGGGAAUAAAGUUAAACAAAGUUAAAUAUUAAAAAGUUAAAAAGAAAAAUAUUAAGCAUAAAGUGCACUAACGAACAAGUAACAGACAAGUGACAAAGUGACAAGUGACAAAGUGAUGAAUUGCAGUUAAAGUGACGUGUGCAGUGUGAAGGGGAGUGACCGGUGGAGUGUUAUAGUCAGUCAGUGGGGGACCGGCUCUGUUGAUGAGCCCGACUGCCGACGGGAAGAAACUCUAAACUAAACAAAAAAUUUAUGAAAUAAAUUCCCUUAAUUGUAAAUCAUAUUUUUUGACGUUGUCAUGGUGACGUGUCUGUUGUGUGUCUGCUGUUUGUUUGCGUGUCUGCUGUUUGUUUGCGUGUCUGUUGUUUGUUUGCGUGUCUGUUGUUUGUUUGCGUGUCUGUUGUUUGUCUGCGUGUCUGCUGUUUGUCUGCGUGUCUGUUGUGUGUCUGCUGUUUGUUUGCGUCUCGUUGUAUUUAAGUUACACAGCACGUGUGGCCCCUGUUGUUUGCGCGUCGCCAUGUGUCCGUCAUCUGAACGGCAGGUCACGUGAUCUGUAGCACCUGAAAAGACCGUGAAAGCAACACAGAUGGAAGAGCUCAAUUGUUUUUCAUUUUAAUAUAUUUACAAAAAAAUCACACAUAAAAAUGUUUAUUUAUUUAAUAAACAUGUAUUUGUAUUUUUACUGCUUAUUCUUAUAAUGAUAUAUGCAACAUGUGUGUUGUUCCCACUGUCCAGACGUUACAAACAAUGAAAUACAGAAUGAGCAGUGCUUUUACCACUGCGGACCACCGUGCCAGUAAUCAUCUAUCUCAUAACUUCUUAUAGUUAUAUAUGCAAUAUGUGUGUUAUUCUAAUUGUUUAGAUGUUACGAUGACAAAUGCAGCCGUUACGCAUAAUCAAACACAAAGAAAUGGUAGAAUAAGCAGCGCUUUUACCGUCCAUUCAUUGCGGACCACAAGCGAAACCCAUGUUGCACAUGCGCACUUAUUCUACAACACGUACGUCAAAAAGCACUGCUGUGCCUUUGCACGUAAAUAGGUUAUGCCAGUAAUCCACGUUACGAAUCAAACACGGACCAAUUAAAAUCGAGAUAUUACCGGACAUUUGCGCAGCUGACUCUCUGAAAUCCCUGCAAGCGUUGUCUUUCUUUCCCAGGUGUUGUGGAUCCAAAUACAUUUUCUGACGGCUACAAAACGUGCAGACUGGUGGAAAAUGCUCAAAUAGGAUGCACUGGAGUAGGGAAAAGAGGAGAACUCCGGGGGAUGAACAGCGGCCCCCCUCACCGGGUUUCUGCAGCCAGAUUGAAGUCACAGACUAAUCAUUUUUGGAGGAAAAGAAAACAUUAAAAAUAUUUGAUACAGUUGAGACACGAGUCGUUUCUUUGUUUUACAC